AUUGAACGCUGGCGGAAUGCUUUACACAUGCAAGUCGAACGGCAGCACGGACUUCGGUCUGGUGGCGAGUGGCGAACGGGUGAGUAAUGUAUCGGAACGUGCCCAGUCGGGGGGGAUAACGUAGUGAAAAUUACGCUAAUACCGCAUACGAUCUAUGAAUGAAAGCGGGGGAUCGCAAGACCUCGCGCGAUUGGCGCGGCCGAGAUCAGAUUAGGUAGUUGGUGGGGUAAAGGCCCACCAAGCCAACGAUCUGUAGCCGGUCUGAGAGGACGAACAGCCACACUGGAACUGAGACACGGUCCAGACUCCUACGGGAGGCAGCAGUGGGGAAUUUUGGACAAUGGGCGAAAGCCUGAUCCAGCCAUUCCGCGUGCAGGAUGAAGGCCCUCGGGUUGUAAACUGCUUUUGUACAGAACGAAAAGGUUUCUACUAAUACUAGGAGCUCAUGACGGUACUGUAAGAAUAAGCACCGGCUAACUACGUGCCAGCAGCCGCAGUAA
This 500-nucleotide ribosomal RNA is filed under the name uncultured bacterium. RNAcentral describes it as "partial 16S ribosomal RNA". It matches the Rfam family "Bacterial small subunit ribosomal RNA", at positions 30 to 523 of the family's 1533-position model. The record is from RNAcentral.